GUGAACGCUGGCGGUAGGCCUAACACAUGCAAGUCGAACGGCAGCACAGUAAGCGCUUGCUCUUACGGGUGGCGAGUGGCGGACGGGGGAGGAAUACAUCGGAAUCUACUUUUUCGUGGGGGAUAACGUAGGGAAACUUACGCUAAUACCGCAUACGACCUACGGGUGAAAGCAGGGGAUCUUCGGACCUUGCGCGAUUGAAUGAGCCGAUGUCGGAUUAGCUAGUUGGCGGGGUAAAGGCCCACCAAGGCGACGAUCCGUAGCUGGUCUGAGAGGAUGAUCAGCCACACUGGAACUGAGACACGGUCCAGACUCCUACGGGAGGCAGCAGUGGGGAAUAUUGGACAAUGGGCGCAAGCCUGAUCCAGCCAUACCGCGUGGGUGAAGAAGGCCUUCGGGUUGUAAAGCCCUUUUGUUGGGAAAGAAAAGCAGCAGGUUAAUACCCCGCUGUUCUGACGGUACCCAAAGAAUAAGCACCGGCUAACUUCGUG
Molecule: ribosomal RNA, 491 nt
Filed under: uncultured bacterium
Lineage: Bacteria
Description: partial 16S ribosomal RNA
Rfam family: Bacterial small subunit ribosomal RNA
Source: RNAcentral